CCACCUUGGCCUCCCAGAGUACUGGGAUUACAGGCCUGAGCCACUGCAACAAGCCUGAAAUUGAUAAAUUAAAUGCAGUAUAUUCAUAUACUAGAAAAAUACCCCCUAGCUGUUAUAAGGAAGGAAAUAUAUCUAUGCACAUUGUCAUUGUGAUCAGUAUCAUCACCAUCAUCCUCUUCCUGUUUACAUGCCUAGCUCCUACCGUGGCUGGACACACAGUGUGCAUGUGCUCUCCAUAAAGACCCAGCUAUGGGUUGGCCCCAGAUCACCCACUAUACUUUGAAGAGUCUGAGAACCAAUGCCAACCUUGAUGUCCAUUCAGAAAUCAUUGUUGACGGAUGAAUUUCUUAUGAGCUCAAUUUCCUGACCCAGCCAGUUCUCUCAUUGCAUCUUGUGUGCAGGAAAGAAUUAAGCCCACACACACAGGACAGCAGAGCUGUGAGAACAGAGGGAAAUGGACCUGGAGUCUCCUGAUCAAGCUGGCCCCAAAGCUGAUGAUCUCGCAGAGUUCCACGUUGCUUAAGUUUGUUUUAGACUCUCUGAUGCUUAUGGCUUCAGGCGUCUCCACUGCUAUGUUGAACAUGAAAGAACUGCUACCUCAUCAUUGUCCUUCCCUUCAAGGCCAAGCAGCUCAACCACCCAUCUGUGCUCCUUGUCCCCAUCUCCUAACAUCUCCAGCCUCCUGAAGUCAGGCCUCCAGCCUCAACCACCGCAAUGGAAGCAUUCUCUUAAAAAUGGCACUAAUCCCCAACUACUAUAUCCAAUGGAUCUUUUUCUAAUCAUGCUCCUACCUGUACUCUCUGCCACACAUUAUAUGGUUCCCUUGGUUUUUCCUGCUCCUUAGGCUGCCGGGAUGGCACUCCUUCUAGGCUGUCCUCCAGUCUCUCUGACAUUCUUUCUCUUUCUCUGACUAUCCCUGAGAAGUUGGGGUUCUCUAUAAUACACCUGUGGCCCUCCUCUCUUCUCAUCCUAGGUACCCAAGCUAGUGACUUCAUCUAAUCCCAUGUGUGCAGGAAAGGGCGCAUUCCAAGAGGUCUGAGAUCUUCAAAUUCUGUGCAUUCCAAGAAAGAUCUGCCCCUUGCCUGGCUCCUGGGAGUAAACCUCUAAACCCUGCCCUGGGAGUUCUCUGCCAGAUUAGAGUGUCUAUUUCCUGGGGCCUUGAGCCAGACAGCUUAUGUGGACAGUGUAAUUUAUGGUGUUGGGGAAGGGUGGUCUUGGGCCAUGUGGUACACAGCUGACCUUUGCAGGCGCUGGAGGCUGAGUGGCCAUAGUCAGUUACCUGGGAACCGCAUGCCUAUGUGACCGACCUCCAAUAAAUGCCCUGGACACCAAGGCUCUGGUGAGAUUCCCUGGUUGCCAGUCCUCCCAUGUGUGUUGUCACACGUCAUUACCAGGAGAAGAAAAGUACCAUCUGCUCCAAUACCCUGGGAGGGACCACUGGGAGCUCACGCCUGGUCCCCCCUGGACUCUGCUCUUGCAGCUUUUGCCUGUGCUGGGUUUUGUCUCCUCCUGUCAUUGUAACAAACCAUACCCAUGAGGACCACAGCUUUUCUGAGUUCUGUGAGUCCUUCUAGUGAAGGGCUGAGACUGAGGGUGGUCUCAGGGGUCCCCAACACAGCACACCAUGUCAUCAUCAGCACACUGGUGACUCGUAAAUGCAUACUUUUUUCCACACGUCUCCUGAACACCAGCUCUACACAGACAUUACAACCAGGAUGUCUCAGUAGCACCACAGACGCAAACUGUCCCACGUUGAUCUUAUGUUCUGCUCCAAACUCAUUCCUUACCAUGCUUUUCUGCAAGCCCCGCCAGCCCAGUCUAAGAUCUGGCAGCAUCUUGCCCUCCUGCCCUCUUGCCCUCCUGUCCUCCUGCCCUCCUGCCCUCCCGCUCCUCCCUCCGUCACCGUAGGUGCUGUGAUGGACCCUCCAGGUCUGUCCUGCUCUCCGGCCACUGCUCCUGGGUUUGGGCCCGCACAACACCUGGCCCUGCAGUCCAUACUCUCUGGAAAGGUCUCCCUACACCCGGGCCGCACCCCUCCAACUAUCCCAACUACACGCAACACAAAACUUUUGAAUUAUUAUUAUUACAGCCC
Microcebus murinus (gray mouse lemur) is the source of this 2092-nucleotide non-coding RNA. Lineage: Eukaryota; Metazoa; Chordata; Mammalia; Primates; Cheirogaleidae. The record is from RefSeq and is a predicted model, not a curated record.